GCCCGGAUCUGCAGCGCUUCGUUUUAUUCCACGCUCCGUCGUUGAUUUUUGCCUUCGUCUUACGGGCCGUUCCCCCUCCCCGUCACAUGCAUGGAGCCUCCGUCAGACGCUGCUGGUGCUCCUAACGUCGGCGUCGCGACGGAAGCGAAGGGGCUGCAAUGGAAGGAUGGGCACGGCCCGUAUGCUGGGCACCGACAGGGAGGGUUUCCUAUGGCGGACGAAGCCUGGCUGCACACAUUGGUCACCGAGGACCCAAACACGGCCGACUGUGGGGGUUCAGAGCGCUGCAGUCGCAGCACUGCGGGGACAAACUGCCUGGGUGUUCGGGGAAGGGUGGCAAAGCAUCUCCCCCUCUCCGUUUUAUGGCCUUGCUGGGGGAGGCCCGGCUUUGUUCUUACCUGGGUUCGAGCCCCAAGCGGGGCACGAAGCCGUCUGACCCCGGGGAGGGGUCAUGAGGAGGGUUUCGCCCCCGUGUGGGUGCCCUGAGUGAGGCACGGCCUCCGCCCCCCCCGUCAUGUGCCUCCCCACUCACGUGUCAGCCCAGCACCCCCCUCCUCACCCAGCAAAGGACCCUCUGUUCUUUCCUUCCCCCCUGCGCUGCUCUGUCUGAUGACCAGGAGGCUCUGUGAUUUAUCUCGUCCCCACCGCCCCGCGUUUAUUUCAUGUCUGUCCAAAGGGCUGCACGCAGACAAGGGCUCCCUGUGAUAAACCCGCUUUGAUGGUCCCCUUGACAUCUUUCCAUCAUGUGUCAGCAGCAUCCACCGUGACCGGGACGCCACAAUAACAGCCCUAUGCAGAGCCAAGGCUGGGUCACAUGCAUGGCUGCAGGGAGAGGAGAUGAUGUUCAUAAUGGCAAAGCCAUUAUAAAUAUCUUCAGAUGGCUGAUGAUUCCUCUUCCUUACACUUAAUGCAUGUGCAAGCCCCAUUUAGCUGGACCACAGACCAAGCCAGAGGCUAUGCACAAGAAAAACUUGGAUCAGGGCAACUUUUUAUAGCCUCGAUGGGGGAAAACUUUCUCCUGCAGAGCCAUUUUUCCUCCUGUCACAUGGUGGCCCCUCAUGACAUGCAUGAUCUACAACCAGCCACUGGCACGCUGAGGCUUUGUGGGGUCAGUGCAUCACCACCAAGCCAUGCAAGCGUGUCCUGUGCUUUAGAUGCGUUCCCUGUCCCAGUCCUGUAUGUAUUCAGAUAAGUAGUACUGCUUGCUUAGAACUAAGCGUGUGUAUUUAGUUACUGAAUCGUGGCUUAAAGGAAUUAGAGUCAGAUAAUGACUGCAGUUAUUCUCAUUUAUGUAUGUAAUGACUUCUCUAGAGGAGAUAACAGCUCACUUCCACAGCUCAACCACAGAGCAGAUAUGAACACAGAUAAUUCCGCUCUGUGUUGAUGGUGUUCCCAGUUGCAAGUUAGCCAAGGUCUCUGAGAAGGGAUUCAAGCUGACAGCUGUAAAUCCCUGCAGAGUCAAUGGCAUUCGAGUGGCAAUGGAGCACCCAAUGGCAUUUAAUGUUGGUGAACUGCUUCGUUGCAGUGGCUACUUGCCUGCCAAGGAUCAUUGGCCAUGACCUGGGAGUUGCUCAGGACCAAAAUAGAAAGAUUUCACUUGAUGGAUGUUCACCUCCUGCAUCCCUUCCAAAAUAUAAACCAUUCCAUUUCAUGGGUGUUUGUGUCCUGCACACCUUAUGCUGCACGACGUGUGGUUGGGAUGGG
Molecule: long non-coding RNA, 1704 nt
Organism: Gallus gallus (chicken)
Lineage: Eukaryota; Metazoa; Chordata; Aves; Galliformes; Phasianidae
Source: Ensembl